RNAcentral lists this non-coding RNA (26 nucleotides) under Homo sapiens (human). The record is from RNAcentral. Lineage: Eukaryota; Metazoa; Chordata; Mammalia; Primates; Hominidae.
UAUGUGGAAUCACAAGGCAUCCUAAA